RNAcentral lists this ribosomal RNA (253 nucleotides) under uncultured bacterium. Its description in RNAcentral is "partial 16S ribosomal RNA". It matches the Rfam family "Bacterial small subunit ribosomal RNA", at positions 524 to 776 of the family's 1533-position model. The record is from RNAcentral.
UACGUAGGUGGCAAGCGUUGUCCGGAUUUACUGGGUGUAAAGGGCGUGCAGCCGGGAAGACAAGUCAGAUGUGAAAUCCCGCGGCUCAACCGCGGAACUGCAUUCGAAACUGUUUUUCUUGAGUAUCGGAGAGGUAAUCGGAAUUCCUAGUGUAGCGGUGAAAUGCGUAGAUAUUAGGAAGAACACCAGUGGCGAAGGCGGAUUACUGGACGACAACUGACGGUGAGGCGCGAAAGCGUGGGGAGCAAACAGG